GUCUACGGCCAUGCCAUCCUGAGUGUGCCCGAUCUCGUCUGUUCUCAGAUGGUAAGCAGGAUCAGGCUUGGUUAGUACUUGGAUGCUGUAGACG
RNAcentral lists this ribosomal RNA (94 nucleotides) under Pteropus alecto (black flying fox). Lineage: Eukaryota; Metazoa; Chordata; Mammalia; Chiroptera; Pteropodidae. The record is from RNAcentral. RNAcentral also lists the same sequence under 1 other name.